RNAcentral lists this ribosomal RNA (729 nucleotides) under uncultured eukaryote. Its description in RNAcentral is "SSU rRNA". It matches the Rfam family "Eukaryotic small subunit ribosomal RNA", at positions 670 to 1426 of the family's 1831-position model. The record is from RNAcentral.
CGGGUGCACUGAUCCGGCCGGGCCUUUCCCUCUGUGGAACCCCAUGGCCUUCACUGGCUGUGCGGGGGAAACAGGACUUUUACUGUGAAAAAAUUAGAGUGCUCCAGGCAGGCCUAUGCUCGAAUACAUUAGCAUGGAAUAAUAGAAUAGGACGCGUGGUUCUAUUUUGUUGGUUUCUAGGACCGCCGUAAUGAUUAAUAGGGACAGUCGGGGGCAUCAGUAUUCAAUUGUCAGAGGUGAAAUUCUUGGAUCUAUUGAAGACUAACUACUGCGAAAGCAUUUGCCAAGGAUGUUUUCAUUGAUAAGGAACGAAAGUUAGGGGAUCGAAGACGAUCAGAUACCGUCGUAGUCUUAACUAUAAACUAUGCCGACUAGGGAUCGGACGAUGUUAUUUCUUGACGCGUUCGGCACCUUUCGAGAAAUCAAAGUGCUUGGGCUCCAGGGGGAGUAUGGUCGCAAGGCUGAAACUUAAAGAAAUUGACGGAAGGGCACCACCAGGGGUGGAACCUGCGGCUUAAUUUGACUCAACACGGGGAAACUCACCAGGUCCAGACACAGUGAGGAUUGACAGAUUGAGAGCUCUUUCUUGAUUCUGUGGGUGGUGGUGCAUGGCCGUUCUUAGUUGGUGGAGUGAUUUGUCUGCUUAAUUGCGAUAACGAACGAGACCUUAACCUGCUAUAUAGCCCGUACUGCUCUGGCAGUUCGCCGGCUUCUUAGAGGGACUAUCGG